CAUUUUCAUCAUUAGUCUUUAUAAUAACACAGGAAAUUAGCAGAGGAUGGUUUCGAUCCAUCGACCUCUGGGUUAUGGGCCCAGCACGCUUCCGCUGCGCCACUCUGCU
This is a long non-coding RNA of Etheostoma cragini (Arkansas darter), 109 nucleotides long. RefSeq lists it as uncharacterized. The record is from RefSeq and is a predicted model, not a curated record. NCBI's taxonomy places the organism in Eukaryota, Metazoa, Chordata, Actinopteri, Perciformes, Percidae. The transcript is spliced from 3 exons.